GUGAGGAAUAUUGGUCAAUGGGCGAGAGCCUGAACCAGCCAAGUAGCGUGAAGGAUGACUGCCCUAUGGGUUGUAAACUUCUUUUAUAAAGGAAUAAAGUCGGGUAUGGAUACCCGUUUGCAUGUACUUUAUGAAUAAGGAUCGGCUAACUCCGUGCCAGCAGCCGCGGUAAUACGGAGGAUCCGAGCGUUAUCCGGAUUUAUUGGGUUUAAAGGGAGCGUAGAUGGAUGUUUAAGUCAGUUGUGAAAGUUUGCGGCUCAACCGUAAAAUUGCAGUUGAUACUGGAUAUCUUGAGUGCAGUUGAGGCAGGCGGAAUUCGUGGUGUAGCGGUGAAAUGCAUAGAUAUCACGCAGAACUCCGAUUGCGAAGGCAGCGCACCGGCGCCCUACUGACGCUCAGGCACGAAAGCGUGGGUAUCGAACAGG
Molecule: ribosomal RNA, 425 nt
Filed under: uncultured bacterium
Lineage: Bacteria
Description: bacterial SSU rRNA
Rfam family: Bacterial small subunit ribosomal RNA
Source: RNAcentral